Molecule: ribosomal RNA, 775 nt
Filed under: uncultured Neocallimastigales
Lineage: Eukaryota; Fungi; Neocallimastigomycota; Neocallimastigomycetes; Neocallimastigales
Description: partial large subunit ribosomal RNA
Rfam family: Eukaryotic large subunit ribosomal RNA
Source: RNAcentral
GUACACGCUGUGACUAGCAUAUCAAUAAGCGGAGGAAAAGAAACUAACAAGGAUUCCCCUAGUAACGGCGAGUGAAGCGGGAAGAGCUCAAAUUUGAAAUCUUAAAGGGUUUCCCUUUACGAAUUGUAGUUUAAAGAGGUGUUUUCUGUUGAGGUUUUGGUAAAAGUUCUUUGGAAUAGGACAUCAUAGAGGGUGAGAAUCCCGUAUUUGACCUUUACUUUCAACUUUGUGAUACACUUUCAAAGAGUCGGAUUGUUUGGGAAUGCAGUCCAAAAUGGGUGGUAAAUUUCAUCUAAAGCUAAAUAUUGGCGAGAGACCGAUAGCGAACAAGUACCGUGAGGGAAAGAUGAAAAGAACUUUGAAAAGAGAGUUAAACAGUACGUGAAGUUGUCAAAAGGGAAGCGUUUGACACCAGUGUUGUUUUUCUGAAAAUCAAUUAAGGAACUGUUUAUGCUAAGUUGUUUAGACUUUAUCAGCUAACUGUUUAGUUUUGAGCUUUUCUUUAAUGCACUUUUCAGUUAACAAGUCAACAUCAAUUUCUUUUGCUGUAAAAAGGCUUGAGGAAGGUGGCUUGAGAUUCGUCUUAAGUGUUUAUAGCCUCUUGCCUAUGCAGUCGGAGAGAUUGAGGUCUGCAGCGUAGAUCCUUCGGGGCUAAAUGCAUUUGUGCUAAGUUAUAGCAUUUUCAUAGACAACUUGCUGACUAUGAUUUGUCUUGUAGCUUACUCGCUUAUGUUAUUUUACCUACGCUUAGGAUGUUGACAGCAGUAUAGACUGU